CCUUCAGAAUGGGGACAACAGUUGGAAACGACUGCUAAUACCCAAUGUGCCGAAAGGUGAAAGAUUUAUCGUCUGAAGACGGGCUCGCGUCUGAUUAGCUAGAUGGUGGGGUAAGAGCCUACCAUGGCAACGAUCAGUAGCUGGUCUGAGAGGAUGAGCAGCCACACUGGGACUGAGACACGGCCCAGACUCCUACGGGAGGCAGCAGUGGGGAAUUUUCCGCAAUGGGCGAAAGCCUGACGGAGCAAUACCGCGUGAGGGAGGAAGGUCCUUGGAUUGUAAACCUCUUUUAUCAGGGAAGAAGUGCUGACUGUACCUGAUGAAUAAGCAUCGGCUAACUCCGUGCCAGCAGCCGCGGUAAUACGGAGGAUGCAAGCGUUAUCCGGAAUUAUUGGGCGUAAAGCGUCCGUAGGUGGUUAUGCAAGUCUGCCGUUAAAGAAUGGAGCUUAACUCCAUAGGAGCGGUGGAAACUGCAAGACUAGAGUACAGUAGGGGUAGCAGGAACUCCCAGUGUAGCGGUGAAAUGCGUAGAUAUUGGGAAGAACAUCGGUGGCGAAAGCGUGCUACUGGGCUGACACUGACACUGAGGGACGAAAGCUAGGGUAGCGAAAGGGAUUAGAUACCCCUGUAGUCCUAGCCGUACACGAUGGAUACUAGGCGUGGCUUGUAUCGACGCGAGCCGUGCCGAAGCUAACGCGUUAAGUAUCCCGCCUGGGGAGUACGCACGCAAGUGUGAAACUCAAAGGAAUUGACGGGGGCCCGCACAAGCGGUGGAGUAUGUGGUUUAAUUCGAUGCAACGCGAAGAACC
This 809-nucleotide ribosomal RNA is filed under the name uncultured cyanobacterium. Its description in RNAcentral is "bacterial SSU rRNA". It matches the Rfam family "Bacterial small subunit ribosomal RNA", at positions 129 to 970 of the family's 1533-position model. Lineage: Bacteria; Bacillati; Cyanobacteriota. The record is from RNAcentral.